This 316-nucleotide long non-coding RNA is filed under the name Glycine max (soybean). Its description in RNAcentral is "long non-coding RNA (GMAX_LNC002380)". The record is from RNAcentral. Lineage: Eukaryota; Viridiplantae; Streptophyta; Magnoliopsida; Fabales; Fabaceae.
AAAUAUUGUAAACCCAAAUCUUCCCUCUAUUCUUGUCUUUUUGCAAUUUUCUCUUCUAUGUUCUAAAUCCAAACCCCAUUUGGUACUCUCGUUGAGUGAUUCACCCGUAAGGUUAUUUAGUGUAUUGAUGAAACUUUCACCAGGAUCUUCAUAAACUCAAACUAGUCUUGCUAAUAUUGUCCAUGAUCUUUUCCCUAAAACAAAACAAAUCAAGCUUGAUCCAAAAUCAACUCAAAUUUUACCACUAACCUUCCUUCCUCCGCCAAGCUUGUGAUAAAAAGUUUUAAGCCCAUCGGCCUAAGUAGGCUUAUCAACC